UGGAGAGAAAAUUAAGGGAUUUGGAUGGGAGUGGUUGGACGGUUUUAGGAGAGAUUUGAGGGAUUCUGGGGAAAUAUGGUGCAGAAAUUUUCAUUUUUGUUGUUUUGGUUUGUUUUUAUUUUCUUUUUUCUUUUAAAUUCCCAAAGUUCUCUUUUCUUCUACCGUUCUUCUUUCCCAGAUUUGCUAAACCUCUGCCAAAAUUUUCUUUUUAUUUUCCAUUCUUGCUGAUUUUUGGCCAUUGGUUUAUUCCCUUUCUGGUUUCGGUUGCCAAAAGUUGCCUAUUUUCUUGCCGAAUUUUUCUUCUUCUUCCC
Molecule: long non-coding RNA, 311 nt
Filed under: Gossypium raimondii (Peruvian cotton)
Lineage: Eukaryota; Viridiplantae; Streptophyta; Magnoliopsida; Malvales; Malvaceae
Description: long non-coding RNA (GRAI_LNC003477)
Source: RNAcentral